RNA transcript from Gadus macrocephalus (Pacific cod), 4229 nucleotides. It is a transcript of the gene named SRSF protein kinase 3, with no coding region annotated. The record is from RefSeq and is a predicted model, not a curated record. NCBI's taxonomy places the organism in Eukaryota, Metazoa, Chordata, Actinopteri, Gadiformes, Gadidae. The transcript is spliced from 18 exons.
GUGACGGUGACAGCUGUUUGAAGAGCGGUAGCACGACGCAUGCGUCAAGCCUAGACUCCGGCGAAGGAAAUGAGCCCAAAAUAACCUCAGCAAAUUCUCCUUCACUCCUCAGUAUAUUGUAGUAGUCUACUAGUACUACUAGACCACGAUAAUAAGUAUCUGGACGGAGUUAACCUAAGAGACUGUUUCUCUCUAGCUGGAGAGACUGUCAGACUGGCGACUAUGUUGAUAGCGGUGGGCGGCGACCCGAGCAGCCGGCCGAGCGCCGGUGGCCAGGGGAAGAAAAACCGAAGAAAGGGCAAGAAGAACCGGCGGGCCCCCGGGGAGCCGGACGGGGUGGACGGCAGGUGUCGGAUGGCCUCUACUGAUGAGCUCAGUCAGAUCCUCAGAGACGCGUCCCCCAGCUCGUACACACUGCCAGCCCUCCUGAGCUCUACUCUGGACACACCUGCCUGUCCACCUGGUCCUCCUACCUGCCACAACACCACAGGCCCGGGUAUUACCCAGGAUCCCCCCCCGCAAUCACCUCCAUCCUCCCACCAAAGACUAAUUCAAUCACCUCCAUAUAAUACUCCUUCCGACCAGAAUCACCUCCGCCCGGACCCACCUCCACCUCCAGGCCCUCCUCCGUCCUCAGGCCCUCCUCCGUCCUCGGGCCCUCCUCCAUCGUCAGGCCCUCCUCCAUCCCCAGGCCCUCCUCCAUCCCUAGGCCCUCCUCCAUCGUCAGGCCCUCCUCCAUCCCCAGGCCCUCCUCCGUCCUCAGGCCCUCCUCCAUCCCCAGGCCCUCCUCCAUCCCUCUGGCCUCCUCCACCCCCAGGCCCUCCUCCAUCCAUAGACCCUCCUCCGUCCUCAGGCCCUCCUCCACCCCCAGGCCCUCCUCCAUCCCCAGGCCCUCCUCCGUCCUCAGGCCCUCCUCCAUCCCUAGGCCCUCCUCCAUCCCUCUGGCCUCCUCCACCCCCAGGCCCUCCUCCACCCCCAGGCCCUCCUCCAUCGUCCUUCGUUCCUCCUUCCCCUGCCUCUGCGACGCUUACUAGCCAAACAGCCACCCUGUCAUCAUCUAACCGCAAUCAGACCACGCCCAAUCAGACUCUGAGCCCGCCUCCUCCGGAUUUUAACCUGCCACCUCCUGGUUUGACUCCGCCUCCACUUGAGCUGCUGGGGUCUGACGACGAAGAGCAAGAGGACUCUUCUGACUACUGUAAAGGGGGCUACUACCCGGUGCAGAUCGGGGAUCUGUUCAACGCUCGCUACCACGUGGUCCGGAAGCUGGGCUGGGGACACUUCUCCACCGUCUGGCUCUGCUGGGACCUACAAAAGAAGAGGUUUGUUGCACUAAAAGUUGUCAAAAGUGCGCUGCACUACACAGAGACGGCACUGGAUGAGAUUAAACUACUUCGAUGUGUGAGGGACAGCGACCCUACUGACGGCUACAGAGAGACCAUGGUCCAGCUGAUCGAUGACUUCAAGAUCUCCGGAGUCAACGGCGUUCAUGUGUGUAUGGUGAUGGAGGUUCUCGGUCACCAGUUGUUGAAGUGGAUCAUUAAGUCCAACUACAUGGGGCUACCUCUGGUCUGUGUUAAAUCCAUCAUCAGACAGGUCCUGCAGGGUCUCCACUACCUCCACACCAAGUGUAAGAUCAUCCACACGGACAUCAAGCCGGAGAACAUCCUGCUGGACGUGGACGAGCUCUACAUCCGGAGGCUGGCGGCCGAGGCCACCGUGUGGCAGAGGGCCGGGGCCCCACCCCCCUCCGGCUCCUCAGUCAGUACGGCCCCCAGGGAUGCUCAGGGUAAGAUUUCCAAAAACAAAAAGAAGAAGAUCAAGAGAAAAGCCAGACGACAACAGAGACUCUUGGACGAGAGAGUAGUCGACCUCCAAAGAAUGGAAGAUAAAAGCAGCGAUCCGUCUCACACUGAUGACAUCAGCGGUUGCCAGGAGGCGGGUCCACUGCCUUCCUUGGUUGUCAAUGGCAACACUUCCUGGUCCACCACCGAUAAGAACGCCAGUCCGGGAUCUGGCUCCUCCUGGUUGGACGAAAGCUGUAAUGGGCGGUUCUCCAGUCCAGCCUCUGGCCUAUCAGGGAUGUCCGACUCUGUGAUUUCAGCAACGUCUGAGUCAGCACUUUCCUCCUUAUCAGGAUACUCAAGUGGACGAGACGUGUUCAGUGCAGCAGACUUCCUGGUCAGUCCGUUGGAUCCCAGGAACGCAGACAAACUUCGUGUCAAAAUUGCUGAUCUGGGCAAUGCAUGCUGGGAGUACAAACAUUUCACGGAGGACAUCCAGACCCGGCAGUACCGAGCUCUGGAGGUUCUGAUCGGAGCGGAGUACGGAACCGCAGCCGAUAUCUGGAGCACCGCCUGUAUGGCGUUUGAGCUGGCCACUGGAGACUACCUGUUUGAACCGCACUCAGGAGAAGACUACACCAGAGACGAAGACCACAUCGCCCACAUCAUGGAGCUGCUGGGGCCGAUCCCCGUCCCCUUCGCCCUGUCCGGACGAUACUCCAGAGAAUACUUUGAUAGAAGAGGUGAGCUGCGCCACAUCUCCAGCCUGAAGCCCUGGGCGUUGUUCGAGGUCCUUCUGGAGAAGUACGAGUGGCCCCUGGAGCGAGCCGCCCAGUUCAGUGACUUCCUGCUCGUCAUGCUACAGCCGGACCCCGAGACCCGGGCCAGCGCCGCCCAGUGUCUGGAGCACCCCUGGCUCAACACAUAGACCUCAACACCUCUCCCCUGGCUCAGCCCAUAGACCCUGACCAACUCUCCCCUGGCUCAACACAUAGACCUCAACACCUCUCCCCUGGCUCAACACAUAGACCUCAACACCUCUCCCCUGGCUCAACACAUAGACCCUGACCAACUCUCCCCUGGCUCAACACAUAGACCCUGACCAACUCUCCCCUGGCUCAACACAUAGACCCUGACCAACUCUCCCCUGGCUCAACACAUAGACCCUGAACACCUCUCCCCUGGCUCAACACAUAGACCCUGAACACCUAACCCCUGGAUUAAUGCAUAGACCCUGAACACUUAACCCCUGGAUUAAUGCAUAGACCCUGAACACUUAACCCCUGGCUAAAUACAUAGACGCUGAACCCCUAACCCCCUGAUUUUUACAUAGACCCUGAACACAUAACCCCUGGAUUAAUACCUAGACCCUGAACACAUAACUUCUGACUUGUUACAUAGACACUGAACACAUAACUCCUGGCUCAGUACAUAGACCCUGAACACCUAACCCCUGGAUUAAUGCAUAGGACCCCCCCCCCCCCCCCCCCCCCCUUGCAAUACUUUUAACACCUGACCCCAACACAUUAUCCCUGAGCUCUGUCACUGGAGACGUGGAUGAAGACUGAGUGGUAGACAGGUGUAUAGAGCAGGUCUGUAUAGAGCAGGUCUGAGCUGGUCUAGGGUAGAAAGGGUCUGGAUCGAGCAGGUCUGAGAUGGUCUAGGGUAGGAGGGGUAUAGAGCAGGUCUGAGCUGGUCUAGGGAAGGAGGGGUCUGUAUAGAGCAGGUCUGAGCUGGUCUAGGGAAGGAGGGGUCUGUAUAAAGGUCUGAGCUGGUGUUAAGGGAGAGGUGUAGGUCUACUGAAGUGGUGAAGAGAAAAGUCACCCAGCUCAACAAGCCUUUGACUCCCUCCUCCCUGCGUCGCUAAAGUCGAAGGUCUCCACAAGCUAUUCCACCGGAGGAGAUUCAGGAUGUAUACUUUGUGGGAACAGAUGGCUGACCAACAGAGCUUGGCUUCAGAAAACACAUGACAGUUUUGUAUUGAUAGUGUUCAUUAUAUUUAUAUUUAUAUUCAACAUGGAGGCCGAUAGGUUAGAGCAAUACCUGGCUGUAAACUAUUGCCUGUGUUUUGUAUUGAUAGUGUUCAUUACAUUUAUAUUUGACAUGGACUGCCGCUGUUGGAAUGAUUCUUGGCUGUAAACUCUCAUUAGCCAUCAGUAAAGUAGCACCAGUAGGUCCCUCCUACUGGCACGUUGGGAUUAUGAGUGUUAGCCGGGUUAGCUCGUCCUCAUGGUCACAUGUAUAAGAUGCUAUAUCCCAGGGUCACUCCUCCACAUGUUAGGGUCUCUAUUGUGUUAUGGAUUCUGUAAACAGUGCCUUGUGUCCCGUGGAGUCAGGAUGGAAGCUGCAUCUUUUCUAAACACGUGUACCAUAACGAUGAAUCACUUGUGAUGAACUUGUGACAUGUUUCAUUUGUGCAAAUAAAGUAUUUAAGAACGACGGUUA